This 439-nucleotide ribosomal RNA is filed under the name uncultured bacterium. Its description in RNAcentral is "partial 16S ribosomal RNA". It matches the Rfam family "Bacterial small subunit ribosomal RNA", at positions 338 to 795 of the family's 1533-position model. The record is from RNAcentral.
CCUACGGGCGGCAGCAGUGGGGGAUAUUGCACAAUGGGGGAAACCCUGAUGCAGCGACGCCGCGUGUGGGAAGACGGUCCUCUGGAUUGUAAACCACUGUCCCCAGGGACGAAGAUGACGGUACCUGGGGAGGAAGCUCCGGCAAACUACGUGCCAGCAGCCGCGGUAAUUCGGAGGGAGCGAGCGUUGUCCGGAAUUACUGGGUGAAAAGGGAGCGUAGGCGGGGAUGCAAGGUGGGUGUCAAAACUACCGGCACAACUGGUAGUCGAACUCAAAACGGCAGCUCUUGGGUGAAGUGGAGGCAGGCGGAAUUCCUGGUGUGGCGGUGAAAGGCGUAGAUAUUAGGAGGAAAACCAGUGGCGAGGCGGCCUGCUGGGCUUUUACUGACGCUGAGGCUCGAAAGUGUGGGGAGCAAACAGGAUUAGAUACCCCUGUAGUC